This 873-nucleotide long non-coding RNA is filed under the name Anolis carolinensis (green anole). RNAcentral describes it as "lncRNA (ENSACAG00000038693.1)". Lineage: Eukaryota; Metazoa; Chordata; Lepidosauria; Squamata; Anolidae. The record is from RNAcentral.
UGCAGUAUAGUUUUGCUGUGAAUCUAGCCAUGGAUUGUGUUAAUGAGUCCACUGUGUAGACACAACCUAAGGACUUCAUCACAUGGGUAAAUUUACCCGUUGUCUGACACUUUUACCAUAGUUCCGGAGUGGAGCCCACCAGAUCCCAUCAAACGACGAAGAGCUAUGUCCACGAAUUGUGGUGAAAGCAUCGUAUGAUGGAGCAACAAGAACACUUCCCGGGUUCUCAUUACCAGCAAUGAAGUUGUGCAGGAAGAAGAAGGCAUGCAUAACAAAGAAUACAGAAGAAUACAUACCCUACUGGAGAACCUAGAAAAGAAGGAUAAGGACCUUAUCAGAUGCAGUGAGAAAAGCGUCUUCUCCCCACUUCUUUCCGCUGCUAUCACAGAGUCCCACGGAGCCCAUCAUAUGAUGCAGGGCUACUUCCAGUGAGGCUCCGUUUCUGCAGCGUUGUGGCAGUGGAGCCUAGAGGAGUUCUCAUUGGAGAACAGAAGAAAAGCCGAAGAGGAAGUGGGGACAGACGGGGAAACUAUGUCAAAAGGCAGAGGACAGACCCAGAUGGGAGGGAAGAGAGCCAGACGAUUCCCUCCGCUGCCUCAGAUUUUUCCUGCUGUCCCCCGAUUUAUCCCUUCCCGUCUGAUAAGGUCCCUUGUUAGUUUGCAUUGUAUUUGUUGUACUAGAUCCAUAAAUUAGUUUACAGUUCUAUUGUAUCGUUUUAUGUUUUAUUAUGCUUUCCUGCCCUAUAUGUGUCUAUGCGUAUACACAAAGAUUUUAGAUUGUAAACCUAUGGCAGGAUCCACUGUUUUUGGUUGUUGUACUUGUAAAGAAUUAUUUAAAUAAACAGCAACAACAAUACAACAAAUGUAAUAUGUU